RNAcentral lists this transfer RNA (76 nucleotides) under Enterococcus phage phiEF17H. RNAcentral describes it as "tRNA-Arg". It matches the Rfam family "tRNA". Rfam says of the family: Transfer RNA (tRNA) molecules are approximately 80 nucleotides in length. The record is from RNAcentral. Lineage: Duplodnaviria; Heunggongvirae; Uroviricota; Caudoviricetes; Herelleviridae. RNAcentral also lists the same sequence under 38 other names.
UGUAGGUGUAGCUCAAUCGGAUAGAGCAUCCGCCUUCUAAGCGGACGGUUGGGGGUUCGAUUCCCUCCAUCUACGU